UUCUACAGCAGUUUCUUCAAUUUGUGAAUGCAAGCGUCAUACAAAUGUCGUCUUUAGAUUAAGACUCAAUUAGAAACAGUAAUUUCCUUAUUUCAUAUUCUCACAACUCUUUUUAUUUAAGUCAUGCGUCUCCUCAAUCAUUUAUAUCCAGUACCGGAUCUUAUUCAACUCAAGUAUUUUCAUAUACCACAGAUUCAACACUCAACGUAAGGCCAAAAUAACCACCUUCUCCAUCUUCUCUUCUACCCUCCUACUCCACAUGCGCCACCCCACAUUGCUGCAGUUGAAAUGGAAGACGGUCAAUAAGUUUUCUUGAUUAGAUCCACCUGAGGAGCUUGAACCACAAUAGAUCCACCCGAGCAACUUUGAUAUAUUUGCUUUGCAGCUGUCAUGUAUCCUGAUUUUGGACCUGAUCUGUAAUGUAGUUAGAAGCAUGUAUCAUCUAACAAAAUGCCAAUAAAUCACAAAGUAAAAAAAAACUAAAUUCUGGAAGAAAUAUAACUGGGAAACUGAUUAAAAGAUAAAGACUAUUCUAGUUACAUUGCAUUGUGUACGACAGGCUUAAGCUAUUUGAUCUCCCACUAAUUGAUUGGAGCAAAGAGCCUCUGUCACAUACUAAGCCACUAAUCCAUGACUGAUCAAUUGACCAUGAUUCAAAAUUACAAAUACUGGAAGCACUAUUACCCCUGCAGCUUAGCAGGAUGAACAUCAUAAAGUAAUUUUGUACAAAAAAGGACACCAAAUAGACAAUGUCUCUAAGGGGAAACAUUAGUACUAAGAAGGCAAUCGACACAAGAUGGGGGAAUGGAUUUAGACCUCGUUGGAACUAAACAACCUGACGAGGCAACAUUGAAGGUCGAUCCCUCUUUCGACUUAAACAUGCAAGCAUAGUCCAGCCAAAUUUUAGUGAUGUGGUCGAUAUAAGAUUUCAAACAUUUUACUUGAGUUGGUAAGAAGUAAAUGAAAGACCAAAAUGCUGGUCAAGCCCUAUACUCAACUGAUAAUGGCAGGCUAACACUUCCGCCAACACAAAGGAAGUUCUAGCUCGUACAGGUGAACAUGCACUACAAGCCUACAAAAUACACUUCCAUCUCAGGUUUUAAAAGUUUUCGUUGAACCUUUUGCUCCCAUAUCCUAUGCUACUUUUUAGGCCUUAAGGGACUAUACUAAUUGGCAUUUACUACUUCCUCCGAUCCAACCUUAGUUCAAAACUGCGACACUUAUUAUGGAUCGGAGGGAGCACAAACUAAGGGUAAAAGGAAAUCUACAAAAUUGUAACCAGCUAGUGUUGUACUGCAACCUUUAGUAUAGAUACCUGAACACAAGGGGAAAAAAUGGAAAUUAGUAGACAUAUAUCACAUCAUCAUAAAAUUUACUUGGAAGUGACCAAUAUUGCUUAAACAUCUCAACUAAAUCAAAGCUUGAGAAGCAAAAGUUAAUCUCCUCGAUGCCUUCAUCAUAGAGGAGGUCACACAUCUGCACUUUGCAAACCAACCAAAAAAAUUUAGAUCCAGUAGAGGGAAGCCAACUAAUGAGAUGAGGGUGAUGGUUAGUUGUGGGGUCGACAAUCCGGUGAGGGUUCGGUGACUGCCAGCGGCAAGGCCAGGAAGCAGCGCCAUGGUGAUCAUGGAGCCCGCAGGUCUGAGCCGCCAUGCCUGUCCAUCGGACCCAUGCACAACUGCAGGAUUUGGAGAGCGAGUGGCCGACUGGCCGCGACAGCGCUACCAGAGAGCACGUCGUGGUCAAGACUAAAGCAACCUCAUCCUCCCAAAUCAUUUUCCACUAAUUUUACAAGGACACAGAUGAUUCAGAUAUUUAUAUGUAUAGUUUUUCUAGAACUAUUUGACAUUCGAAAAAUUAUUAUUCAUGCGGGUGCACGUAUGAAUUUCUCCUAUGCAGCUUGCUAGUUUUCUUCACCACCCAAUUCCAUUACCACUGAAUCCGAUCAGAAAAAUAACAAGCUCAUUAAAUUGAAUGCAGUGUGCAUCAACAUAAUAACUCGUUAAUAUAUAGCUCUGUGAUCUCCAAAAAUGAAUGUAGGCAUUCAGUUAUAAAGGCUGCAUUUCUUUUAGUUCUUUCAAGAGACCGGCAGAAACAUUGCCUUUGAAUUACAAAAAUAGAUUAUGUUUAACAGUCAUUUACAUGGUUAUUUCGUUGUAGUGGCAACCCAAUGGGAGAACCUUUUCCGUACUUACACAUUCGACUCGCGCUUUUUAACAAAAGGACAUUCACUGAAUGAAAAGGAAAUAAUUGACGAAAUAAAUGUUGUGGUUAAUUACCUGAAGCAUACUACACAUACUUAAAUGUAAAUGUGUUUGUUAACAAAUCUGCCACACAUUUAGUCAAAUCUAGAUUGCAAUGCACCCCUUCAUUUUGUCCUCAAUAAUAACUUGAUCUGCAUGAAAGCAUCCAAAUUGAGAACAAACAAAAGAUACGUAAAAAGACAUUUAAAUAUCUGGAACAAGUCUCUGCGCUACAACAAAGGUGAACAAGUGCUCAUGUGCCAAAAAAACAAUAAAUCCUUUGGUCAAAAUUGUAUUAAUAACAACCACAAUGUAACGUUUAAUUAGCUCAGAAGUCUGGACCCUGAUGCUGAGAGCUGCUUGCUAAGGUGCAGAAAACUUCAGUUACCUUGCUGGAGCAUGUAAUCUAUGAGCCUGCUGUAGUAGUCCACUCCUUCCUAGUCCACCUUCCCAGUCCCAU
This 2703-nucleotide long non-coding RNA is filed under the name Triticum aestivum (bread wheat). RNAcentral describes it as "long non-coding RNA (TAES_LNC027384)". The record is from RNAcentral. Lineage: Eukaryota; Viridiplantae; Streptophyta; Magnoliopsida; Poales; Poaceae.